This 78-nucleotide non-coding RNA is filed under the name Guillardia theta. The record is from RNAcentral. Lineage: Eukaryota; Cryptophyceae; Pyrenomonadales; Geminigeraceae.
UGAUCGGAGAUUGGAAGGUCUUGAUGCCGGCGGUGACAUGGAUCACGAUGAAAACAUCACCGAGUUGUGUGGAUUCAA